GGCGAAGGGGGCUAGCGUUGUUCGGAAUUACUGGGCGUAAAGCGCGUGUAGGCGGUUGUUCAAGUCAGGUGUGAAAGCCUUGAGCUCAACUCAAGAAAUGCACUUGAUACUGGAUGACUAGAGGACCGGAGAGGAUAGUGGAAUUCCCAGUGUAGUGGUGAAAUACGUAGAGAUUGGGAAGAACACCAGUGGCGAAGGCGGCUAUCUGGACGGUUUCUGACGCUAAGACGCGAAAGCGUGGGGAGCAAACAGG
This 253-nucleotide ribosomal RNA is filed under the name uncultured bacterium. Its description in RNAcentral is "partial 16S ribosomal RNA". It matches the Rfam family "Bacterial small subunit ribosomal RNA", at positions 524 to 776 of the family's 1533-position model. The record is from RNAcentral.